RNAcentral lists this ribosomal RNA (468 nucleotides) under uncultured bacterium. RNAcentral's name for it is "partial 16S ribosomal RNA". It matches the Rfam family "Bacterial small subunit ribosomal RNA", at positions 28 to 507 of the family's 1533-position model. The record is from RNAcentral.
GACGAACGCUGGCGGCGUGCUUAACACAUGCAAGUCGAACGGAAAGGCCCUGCUUUUGUGGGGUGCUCGAGUGGCGAACGGGUGAGUAACACGUGAGUAACCUGCCCUUGACUUUGGGAUAACUUAAGGAAACUGGGGCUAAUACCGGAUAGGAGCUCCUGCUUCAUGGUGGGGGUUGGAAAGUUUCGGCGGUUGGGGAUGGACUCGCGGCUUAUCAGCUUGUUGGUGGGGUAGUGGCUUACGAAGGCUGUGACGGGUAGCCGGCCUGAGAGGGUGACCGGCCACAUUGGGACUGAGAUACGGCCAAGACUGCUACGGGAGGCAGCAGCGGGGAAUAUUGCAAAAUGGGCGGAAGCCUGAUGCAGCAACGCCGCGUGCGGGAUGACUGCCUUCGGGUUGUAAACCGCUUUCGCCUGUGACGAAGAGUGAGUGACGGUAAUGGGUAAAGAAGCAACGGCUAACUACGUG